Molecule: RNA transcript, 6092 nt
Organism: Lineus longissimus
Lineage: Eukaryota; Metazoa; Nemertea; Pilidiophora; Heteronemertea; Lineidae
Gene name: valine--tRNA ligase-like
Exons: 27
Source: RefSeq, a predicted model, not a curated record
GCGCUCUAAAAAUGUCUUUCCUAUUCUUUCGAUACAAAUUUUUGACUAAAUUGACUAAUAAAAUCAUAAUCUUUGCAAUCUAAAGCAAGUCUAUUCUAAAAAAACGUUGAUUUCAGCAAGUAUGAUUAAGAACUACUUUUGUAAAAACAUACGCGACGAAACACAAUAUCUAUGUGAAGUAAACAGUUAAUUUUGUUCAUACGCGAGAAAGCCUGUAUUUGACAGAGAAAUAAAACAAUUUUGCUGCGAGUGGAGAUUGGUAAUCAAACAUGGUGGUCAACUGGUGUCGGGCACGUCAAAUUUACAACAAAUGUGGGAUAAAACUAUUCAAGAAAACACUUUUAAGCAAUAAAAGUUGCAACUAUGGCAAGGAUAGUGAUUUAGGGGUCCGAUUAACUGAAGUCUACCGCAUUCCAUCGCAGACUUUUGCUACAUGCACCCCUCAAAGACUGAAAUUUGACUCUUGUUUUGGAAGGCCGUUAGAGGGCGCCGACACUGGUGAAAAAGCCAGGGAAAAGUCAAAACUGAAGAAAAGAGUGAAAGAAGCCAAGACAUUGCUAAAUGUUGAAAAAAUAUUGAAACAGGGUGAAAAUCAGGCUGAUUUAAAGAAAAAUGUCCCGUCUACUUACAAUAUUGACACAAAACCUGGACAGAAGAAAGAUACUUCUAUCCCUCUCCCUAAGGCAUAUAAUCCAGAAUUUGUUGAAGCAUCAUGGUACAGCUGGUGGGAGGGAAGUGGAUUUUUUACUCCUGAAUACUCAAUCAAGGAAAAUGAAAAGAAGAAAUAUUUUGUGAUGUGUCUGCCACCACCAAAUGUGACUGGCUCGUUACAUCUCGGUCAUGCAAUUACUAAUUCCAUCCAAGACGCUAUCAUCAGAUGGCGGCGUAUGCGCGGUGAUGUCACGUUAUGGAAUCCCGGCUGUGAUCAUGCUGGCAUCGCCACCCAAGUCGUUGUGGAGAAGAAGUUAUGGAAAGAACAACAGAGGACGAGAUACGAUGUUGGGAGGGAGCGAUUUGUCGAUGAAAUUUGGAAGUGGAAAAAUGAGAAAGGUGAUCAGAUCUAUGAGCAGAUGCGACAAAUGGGAUCGUCACUAGACUGGACGAGGGCGCGUUUCACAAUGGACCCCAAACUCUCACGGGCGGUUACUGAAGCUUUUGUUCACCUCCAUGAUGAAGGGCUCAUCUAUCGUGGCAAUCGGUUGGUCAACUGGUCAUGUCAGUUAAAAUCUGUGAUCUCAGAUAUUGAGGUUGAUGAGAAGGAAAUUCUUGGAAGGACGAUGUUACAAGUUCCUGGUCACAAGAAAAAGGUGGAGUUCGGAACUCUCAAAUCAUUUGCAUAUAAGGUUGUUGGCUCAGGCGAGGAGAUUGUAGUUGCCACAACACGCCUUGAGACGAUGCUCGGUGACACGGCUGUGGCCGUCCAUCCUGAUGAUCACCGCUACUCCAAUCUUCAUGGCAAAAUGCUGACGCAUCCGUUCUGUGAUCGGCAAAUCCCUGUAAUCUGUGAUGAAUUUGUGGACCGGGAAUUUGGCACAGGUGCUGUGAAAAUCACUCCAGGACACAGCCACACAGACUUUGAGGUCGGAACUAGACAUCAACUCCCCCUAUUGUCCAUUAUGGAUGACAAUGGGCGUAUCAAUGACGUCUUUCCAAAGUUUGAAGGCUUGGACAGAUUUGAAUGCCGGCGGAAAAUCGAAGAAACGUUGAAGCAACUGGACUUAUUCCGAGGGACGGCGGACCAUAAAAUGACAGUGCCAAUUUGCAGUCGCAGUGGGGACGUGAUCGAACCGCGCCUCAAGGAACAAUGGUACAUUAACUGCCAAGAGAUGGCAGCACAGGCCGUGGACGUCGUGAGGAAUGGAGAUUUGGAGAUUUUGCCGGGAAAUCAUGAGAAUAUUUGGUAUAAUUGGAUGGAGAAGAGUCGGGAUUGGUGCAUUUCACGACAACUUUGGUGGGGUCAUCGUAUUCCUGCGUACAAGGUUGUGUCCCUUCAAGAUGAUCAGAAUCGCGCCGAUGUUUGGGUGAGUGGUCGAAGUGAGGAAGAAGCCAGGAAGAGAGCCUGUGAGAAACUCUGUGUAGGUCCUGAACAGUUCAGGCUCGUACAAGAUGAGGAUGUUUUAGAUACCUGGUUCUCUUCAGCACUCUUCCCAUUCUCCAUAUUUGGAUGGCCAGAGAAAACUAAAGAGUUGGACUCAUUCUACCCAACGUCAAUACUGGAGACUGGUAGCGACAUCUUAUUUUUCUGGGUGGCUCGGAUGGUCAUGCUUGGCCAGAAGCUCACUGGACAACUGCCAUUCAAAAAGGUGCUACUCCACGGCCUCUUACGGGACUCGCAUGGUAGAAAGAUGAGCAAGUCCCUGGGGAAUGUGAUAGACCCCCUGGAUGUCAUCAGAGGCAUAUCACUCCAGGAUCUUCAAAAACAGCUCGGUUCAAGCAACUUGGAUCAAAGAGAAAUUGAGAAAGCAAAGUUGGGGCAGAAGAGUGACUUCCCGUUGGGGAUACCCCAGUGUGGAACCGACGCGCUCAGGUUUGCGCUGUGUUCAUAUAACUUCAAAGCCCAGUUUAUCAACAUGAACAUCACCCAUGUCAAAAGCUACCGAAACUUCUGUAACAAGAUCUGGCAGGCAUUUCGAUUUUAUCUCAUCAACACAGUGGAGUUCCAACCUUCAAGUAAAUUUGAGGUCUCCUCCGCUACCCGUGCGACUGACCAGUGGAUCCUGAGCCGUUUGUCUCAUCUGAUUGAAAUGUGUGGCGUCCACUUCCAGUCUUAUGACCUGCACCUGGUCACGAAAGCCUUGUAUCAAUUCUGGUAUCAGGAGCUAUGCGAUGUCUAUCUUGAAUGCAUCAAACCGGUUCUCAAAAGUGGCAACGUAUCCGACAAACAGUCCGUUUUGGAAACUCUGCACGUGUGUAUAGAUGUCGCCCUCCGUGCCAUGAGUCCAUUCAUGCCAUAUCUGACGGAGGAGCUCUAUCAGCGAUUGAGAGGUGGGAUAGAGGUCGCCAGUGUCUGUUUAGCAAAGUAUCCCGAUAGUUCUGAGAUUUGUUACCGAAACACUGCCGUUGAAGAUGAGAUGGAGGUUUUAUCUAAAAUCGUAACUGCUGCAUUAUCUGUGAGGAGUCUGUUCAAUCUAAAGUCUAAACCUAAUGUGUAUCUUGUCUGUGAUAACAAAGUCCGGGAUGUUGUUGAAACCUUUCGAGAAGAGCUGAACACUUUGUCACGAUCACAAUCGGUGACAGUGACCAGUAGUCCGCCCCAAGGUUGUGUCAAGGUGGACAUCUUGGAAGGAAGCCAGCUCUAUAUGGAAGUCAAGGGAUUGAUUGAUCCACUGCAGCAGUUUCACCUGGCAGAGGCCAAGGAAACCAAACUCAUGGCCGAACUUGACAAUUUGACAGAAAAAAUUAACACAACGACUAAGGAACACUUAGAGAUUGUAUACAGAGAAAAGCGACACGAGGUCCAGAAGAGUUUGGAUAAGAUCCUGGAACUGAAAGAGAUGCUUCGAUAUCUGAUGUGAUUCAGGAUUGUUGAGGCUCCCGAUGUGUUCUACCAUUUCAAAGGGAUUCCAUUACUAGUACAGACUGCUUAUUAUUCACAAUGUGAUCUUAUUUCUGUUCCUGAAAAGUUGUUUUCAGUGUAUUUUCUCCUUGAAAUCGAUCACUUCAGGUACUAUUACUGUGCAUACCUAGCUAAAUUAGUGUCUAGUUUCGUCUCUGAUGACAUUUAUUUCGUAAAAAUCGCUGUUUUUUUCUAAAAAGGUGUUUUUGUGGUCAUUUUGGCUGUUUAUUUCGAGGGUACGGUAGGAGGUCAUCGUUCACUCGAUAACUCUUUUUAAAAUGAAAUAAAAGCGUUUUAAGAUACAUGAUAUGAAUUGAUAUUAAUAUUCGUUAAGUGGGAUUGUCGGUGGACGUUCAUUGUUGAACAGUUGUGCUGGAAUUACGAAAAUAUAUCGAUAUCGUUGAGAGUUCAUUCAUUAGGGGCCUGUUCUCAAUUUUCCUUACAACGCCUCUAGCACUGGGCAAUUGCCACCAUCUUGAAAAGCAGUGCCGCGGAUGGCUAUCGCAUCGCCACUACGCAUGAGAACACGAUGGCUGCCCUGCGCUGCAUUGAUAGUUCGUAAUAAAUUCACAUAAAAACACACCAGAAGAUCUCCGAUUUUAUUUACAAAGAUCAUAUUUUGUUAUUUAUUGAUAAAACAAGCCAUUUUACCACAGCAGGUGACACAUUAGGCCUGAAUAAGACUUUAGAAUUUGAAGUGGUGGUGACGAUGCCGAUAUCCAAGAUGGCGGAAUUAUACCAGUGGUCAAAUCUCAUCUAUUUUGGGUAAUUGCAUCAUUAUUUCUUUUUGUGAUUGGUGAUUUGUAAAAUUGAGAAUGAUUGAAAAAUCAGUAUUUUUUCACCCAAAGGCAUGAGUGAACAUUUGAUAAGUUUAUUGUGAUUUAAUUGGUAAUUUGGUCGACAUUUUGACAAUUAUAUUUAGCAAUAUUUCGAUAAAUGCGGACCUGCUUCUUCCUCUUUUCGUAGUGACGGUGUUUCGAUAACUCAGUUAGACUUCGAGAUCUACAUUUUCGACAAAGGCCUGGUGUAAAUUACGUACUUAAUGAAGGUUUAAUGACACGAAUGAGUACAAGUACAUUACAUUUUUCGACGAAGGCCUUCUGUAAUUUCAUACGCUUCUUACGCAACAUUCAAUAGAUUUAUUUACUGUAUUAUCAUUUCGACCAAGGCGAAUUCGACACUUCAAUUACACAAGCACAAUCAAACUUAGUCAUUCCAGUCAGUUACUGAAGCACAGCGAAAACUGUCUGAAUUAGUGCUGCUGAUGGCAUGUAAUUACUCUACUACCACUACCAGUGACAGUCAAUGUCCAUAUAUUUUCAAGUGUGCGAAAUUAGUACUCGUCUACUUCUUAGUGUUAUUUGAAUGCAAUGUAUGUUAUAAAAAUAUUUUUUCAACACUAUAUCAACAUUCUCAUUCCUGUCAGUUUCUGAAAAUCAGCUAAAGCAAUCGCUACCAAUGCAGCUGAUAACAGCAAUUCUUUUUGUUCCCAAUGCCCAUCCAUGACAAUAUAUUUCACGCAUGUGACAAGCAUGUGACAAUCAUGUAAUCGUCCUGUUUUUUGUGUUCUUUUCAUGCAAUAAAUAAAUUCAGUAUUUUCAAAUCAUUGGUGCUACAAAACUAUUCUCAUUAUAGAUUAUUCAUAUUUUAUAAAAUGCUGUCAUGUCAAAUUUUGUGUCCUAUAAAUCAUUAUGAAGUCGGCAUUUUAUAUACAACUUUUGUACUCCUCCUAAAUAAACAUACAAAUCUUGUUUUAUGUAAACUUUGUAUAUGUGACCCGUCACAGCAAAACCAGGCGCAUGUCGCUCUGAGCUUGGCAGGUUGAGACGGACUGUUUGUUCAUUUAUCUAUUGUCUGCCUUUUGUAAAAUAUGAGCACAUCAAUUUCUUCCAUUAUCUCCUGGUGUCAUUUAGGCUCAUCUUCUGUGCGACAUGUACCUGGUUUUGCUGUGACGGGUCACAUAUUCUAUAGAUAUACAACACUCUAAUGUCACAAUGCCUCUCUCACUCGCUUUUAUAUAGCAAGAUGUAUGAAUAAACAUGACACACCAACUAUGUACAAAAUUGCUAACAAACUGCACCAUUUGUCAGUACACCACAUGAAAUACAGAGAUAUGUCUUAAUUCUAAUCUUUCAUUAGCGACACCAUUUCUUACCAGAGUGCCUCCUUCAUUCAUACAUCUUGUACUUUAACUCAAGAUACCCAUCUUUGAAUAUUUUUAGUAUACCAAGUACUACAAUGUCAAUGUAUUGAAGUCAUGUUCUUGUAGUGUUAUUGGCUUUCUAUUAUCUUGUCAAAAUACCACUUGGUUCUCGCAAAAUCUCAAUAAAAACAAAUGCUAUUGCAUGUAUUGCAUAUUCUAACAGCUAUCCACUGUAUCGAUUUAUCCAUCAUCUGUACUAUUUGUCACAAAAAUGUUAUAUUAUGUAAAUCAUAUUUCAUUACAUAAUGCACACUGCCAAUUACUGCUGAACCAUUCAUAUGUCAUUUAAAUAAAUAAUUUUCAACUUUUUAAAACCGUCUUAUAGUACUGUUC